This 828-nucleotide ribosomal RNA is filed under the name Tylomelania sp. ZMB 190688a.3. RNAcentral's name for it is "partial 16S ribosomal RNA". It matches the Rfam family "Bacterial large subunit ribosomal RNA", at positions 1456 to 2564 of the family's 2925-position model. RNAcentral also lists the same sequence under 1 other name. The record is from RNAcentral. Lineage: Eukaryota; Metazoa; Mollusca; Gastropoda; Pachychilidae.
CUAAAAUUAAUAAUUAAAAAAUUUAUCAAUUUGUUUUGUAUCUUAGUUUAUUGAGGAUAAGCUCAAUAAAAAUAAUAAAAUAGUAUAUAUACCUCAUUUAAUUAGCCACAUGGGCUUAAAAUUAGCAAUUGUGUUAAAGUUUGUUACAAAAUAGUCUUUAUAUGUGGAAAGAUUAAUAUACUUUUUUUAUAGGGGGUAACACGAAAAACCAUAAUAUCUUGAUUCACUUAUGCUAGGAUGAGUAUUAAUGUAUAAGAUAUAUAAACAAAAACAGAAAGAUAUACAAAAUAACUUUACUUAAAAUGAAAUAAGAAUAAGGAAUUCAGCAAACGCUUAGCUCCGCCUGUUUAUCAAAAACAUGGCUCUUUGUUAAUCAAAUAUAAAGAGUCGGACCUGCCCAGUGAAGUUUUAACGGCCGCGGUACUCUGACCGUGCAAAGGUAGCAUAAUCAUUUGCCUUAUAAUUGAAGGCUUGUAUGAAUGGUUUGACGGGAGCAUUACUGUCUUUUUCUUACUUUAUAGAACUUGACCUCUAGGUGAAGAGGCCUAGAUAGAGUUGAAAGACAAAAAGACCCUGUCGAGCUUAAAAAGGAAUCAGAAUAAUUUUAUUAUCCAAGAUUAAUUACUGACUAAUUUUUUUGGUUGGGGCGACCAAGGAACAAAAAAGCUUCCUCUAUUCUCUUAGCUAAUAAGCAUAGAUCCAGAAAAAGCUGAUUAAAAGAAAUAGUUACCGCAGGGAUAACAGCAUAAUCUCUCUUGAGAGACCUAAUCGAAAGAGGGGGUUGUGACCUCGAUGUUGGACUAGAAUAUCCUAAAGAUGCAGAAGUCU